RNAcentral lists this ribosomal RNA (492 nucleotides) under uncultured bacterium. RNAcentral describes it as "partial 16S ribosomal RNA". It matches the Rfam family "Bacterial small subunit ribosomal RNA", at positions 29 to 507 of the family's 1533-position model. The record is from RNAcentral.
AGUGAACGCUGGCGGUAGGCCUAACACAUGCAAGUCGAACGGCAGCACAGUAAGAGCUUGCUCUUACGGGUGGCGAGUGGCGGACGGGUGAGGAAUACAUCGGAAUCUACUUUUUCGUAGGGGAUAACGUAGGGAAACUUACGCUAAUACCGCAUACGACCUACGGGUGAAAGCAGGGGAUCUUCGGACCUUGCGCGAUUGAAUGAGCCGAUGUCGGAUUAGCUAGUUGGCGGGGUAAAGGCCCACCAAGGCGACGAUCCGUAGCUGGUCUGAGAGGAUGAUCAGCCACACUGGAACUGAGACACGGUCCAGACUCCUACGGGAGGCAGCAGUAGGGAAUAUUGGACAAUGGGCGCAAGCCUGAUCCAGCCAUACCGCGUGGGUGAAGAAGGCCUUCGGGUUGUAAAGCCCUUUUGUUGGGAAAGAAAAGCAGCAGGUUAAUACCCCGCUGUUCUGACGGUACCCAAAGAAUAAGCACCGGCUAACUUCGUG